This 439-nucleotide small RNA is filed under the name Arabidopsis thaliana (thale cress). RNAcentral describes it as "ATSL267710". The record is from RNAcentral. Lineage: Eukaryota; Viridiplantae; Streptophyta; Magnoliopsida; Brassicales; Brassicaceae.
AAGGAUACAAUUUUUACGCCUUCAAGUUCAGGUUGCGGUUUCAGUUCUUAUACUCAAUCAUACACAUGACAUCAAGUCAUAUUCGACUCCAAAACACUAACCAACCUUCUUCUUGCUUCUUAAGGCUUUCAUGGUGUAGGCAAAGUCCGUAUGAGUCUUUGGCUUUGUGUCUUCUAACAAGGAUACUAUUCUUACGCCUAUAAGAUCCAGUUGCGGUUUAAGUUCUUAUACUCAAUCAUACACAUGACAUCAAGUCAUAUUCGACUCCAAAACACUAAAAAAUCUUCUUCUAGCUUCUCAAAGCUUUCAUGGUGUAGCCAAAGUCCGUAUGAUUCUUUGGCUUUGAUCUUCUAACAAGGAAACACUUCUUAGGCUUAUAAGAUCGGGUUGCGGUUUAAGUUCUUAUACUCAAUCAUACACAUGACAUCAAGUCAUAAGC